GGCCGGUUGGCGCAACGGUAGCGCGUUCGACUCCAGAUCGAAAGGUUAUCCGUUCAAAUCGGGUAUCGGUCA
This is a transfer RNA of Pseudomassariella vexata, 72 nucleotides long. It matches the Rfam family "tRNA". Rfam says of the family: Transfer RNA (tRNA) molecules are approximately 80 nucleotides in length. Their secondary structure includes four short double-helical elements and three loops (D, anti-codon, and T loops). Lineage: Eukaryota; Fungi; Ascomycota; Sordariomycetes; Amphisphaeriales; Pseudomassariaceae. The record is from Rfam.